RNAcentral lists this ribosomal RNA (253 nucleotides) under uncultured bacterium. RNAcentral describes it as "partial 16S ribosomal RNA". It matches the Rfam family "Bacterial small subunit ribosomal RNA", at positions 524 to 776 of the family's 1533-position model. The record is from RNAcentral.
UACGUAGGGUGCGAGCGUUAAUCGGAAUUACUGGGCGUAAAGCGUGCGCAGGUGGCUCUUUAAGUCAGAUGUGAAAGCCCCGGGCUUAACCUGGGAACUGCGUUUGAAACUGGAGGGCUGGAGUGUGGCAGAGGAAGGUGGAAUUCCUGGUGUAGCAGUGAAAUGCGUAGAGAUCAGGAGGAACACCGAUGGCGAAGGCAGCCUUCUGGGCCAACACUGACGCUCAUGCACGAAAGCGUGGGGAGCAAACAGG